AACAAAUCCCAUAGGUAAAGCUAGUCCUAAAUGGAGGCAUUUCAUUGCUAUGAAGGCACAAUAGUAGCACCUGGAGAACUAUCACAGCGAAACCACUGCCGAUGCUGGGCAUUGCACUGACCUGCUAUUUGAAACGCUCACCAGGUCCAAUCACCAUGACACCACCAGUGCUGUCAAUCAGAAACCAUGCUGAUUCUGUGGAAUAUCAAGGCCAUUAAGAUCUUUGUAGACUAUAUUAUGACAGAGAACUGGAGAUUUAACCUAGUCCUAAGGUAAGACAGUUAAUGCAUAAUACUGUCUUUUUGACAUGACCAGAAAGUGCA
RNAcentral lists this long non-coding RNA (323 nucleotides) under Mustela putorius furo (domestic ferret). RNAcentral's name for it is "lncRNA (ENSMPUG00000024103.1)". The record is from RNAcentral. Lineage: Eukaryota; Metazoa; Chordata; Mammalia; Carnivora; Mustelidae.